CAUCCAGAGACUGCCUUCGUUAAGUCUACACAUCUAAGAGGAGCAGCUAUGUCUCCAAGCAGAUGUGCUAUUGCCUGCCAGCCUCCUGAGGCCUUCCUCAGAGUCCUUGACUAGGUUCUGUGGUCCCGUCAGUGGAAGGCUGGUGUUUGAACUCUGUGGAAUAAGGGGCUUGAGCUGGGAUUUUUGAGCAAUUUGAUCAUGGUUAGAAUGCUGGGACCUUGCAGCAGUGCCUGGUUUUGGGAAGCAGAAGAUUGCAUUGUUGCUUGACAUUCUUCCCCUUUGACAAAGGGAGUGUUCUUUUUUUCUUUUUAACAUGAUUCAUCAAAAUAUCUCACAAAGCACACCUCACGAAGAUGAAUGGACUCAUUUAGGUGAAAACACCUGCAAGGUAACUCAGAAUUACAGUCAAGGUCAGAAAAGAUGCCAGAACCAGAGUAGAAGAUUGAGAAAGAGACACCUACAGAGAGUGACAAAAUGCUUGUGAAAAAGAAAUAUUGAGUUUUGGCUCAGAAAUAUAGAAAUGUCAAAAGGUCACACCAUGUAAGCAUGAUCUGAACAUUUUCAAGUCUUGAUUUCUAAUAAUGGUAAUGUAAUGUAAAUAUUUCUUGGAAUUAUCCAUGGGAGGUAAUCCGGAACAAAUCUUGCUACAAAGGGCCCUGCCUGGACCCCAAGAUGUAUCCUGCAUUUUCCAACAUAGGAAGCUGGCUUAUAAUGAGGUCAUUCACACAAUCAAAACCUGUGUUCUACCCAGGUUUGGGAGCUGUGUAUGUUCCCAAUUUUCAGUUGUGUAGAAGCAAGAUAGGAGGAAAACCUGGGUAGAAGUGAUUGUGUGGAAGCACGGUAGGAGGAAAAGCUACCCAGGUUUUCAUCCUACCUUGCUUCUACACAACUGAAAAUUCGGAGCAAUUUUGGGUGAAUGUGGCUAGGGGGGCUGUCAAGGAGAGCAGCUGCACUUCUGAAUUUGCGACUACAUCACUGGGGGCAACAAUCAGGUUAUACCUGUAGUAAUGUUACAAUGAGGCUUUCCACAUGAGCAGUCUGGAGAGCCUUACCAGGCUCUGCAGGGAGAGUGGGCUUAGCCUGUUCUCCACACAGACAAGCAGGGAACAAUCCCUGGGCGACCGGAUCAACCACCCACAUGACUACGGGCUUCGUGACGGAGCUGGUGGGGGCAGUGGGGAUGAGGGGCCACCUGGUCCCCAGAAGUCCCAGAAUGCCCCACGCAAGUCCAUGGGGCAUUCUGGGGAGACCCCUGAGGCUGGGAGACCCCUGAGGCUGAGGCUAGGGGGUCUACCCAUGUGUUGCCACUCCAUGGAGCCACGCCAUGGUGACACACGAUCAGUAAAACGGGGUUAACGGAGCGCUUCUUCCGCUAACCUCGUUUAAGUGGGGGAACUUAAAUGGGCUAACUGCCGGGAGCUCCUAGCGGUUCCCACAACUGCAGGAAAGCGGGCUGGGCUCCCUUAGCCCGCUUUCCUGCUGUCAUGAGAAUAGCCUCAAUAAAUAUUUUUACCCACCUCCCAAGCAUCCUACAUGCUCAUCUGCAAAAUGAGCUCUUACCAAGAUUAGGACUCUUAAAGAAGAAAGAUCAUUUAGCAAGAGCAUGGCAAAGCCCCCCACCCCAUCCUUCUCCACUCCCCACCUAUCAUAACUGUGUCCAUGUCAAGAGAUUUUGGCCAAGGCUGUCUGAGUCGCAUUAUUUUUACUGGGUCCUUCAAGAGCACUUUGCCUUGGAGUAAAAUUCUGGGCUCAUUAAGUUUCCCAUUAGAUCUCAAGGAGACAAACUGUUGUGGGGGCGGAUGUGACACAGUGCAUGACAUGUGUGUGGGAUCUCUGAGCGUGCAUUUUUCAACAUAUAUAUUUUAGUUACUGUGAUUAUACUCAGGAAAGCUUCCCCCCCUUCCUAUUAAGAAAAUUAAGGCUGGACCCUAAUGAUACUAUUUAUUUGGCUUUCUUCAAGCAUCAUGCAUAUUAUCAAGCAAUAUGGUGGAGCCAGUAUAGUUAUACAGAGUAUAUAUCUCGUAUAGUGUUUACAGUGUUGGACUAGGACCGGGGAGGCCAGAUUUCAAAUCCCCAUUCAGUCAUGAAACUCACUGGGUGGGUGACCCUGAGCCAGACUCUUAUCUCUCAGUCUAACCUACAUCACAGGAUUGUUGUGAAGAUAAACACAGGCAUGUAUGCUGCUCUUCUUGGAGGAAGAGGGCUAUGCAAAUAGGCUAUGUUCUCCAAGGGUUUUGGAGCCCUGGAUGGCCAGAAUUCGAGAAUGCAUAGCUUCAGUGUCUGGCUCUACAGAUAAGUGGUGAGCCCAGGGAGUGUGAGAGGAAUGGCUGUGGCACAUGUUUGUAGGGAGUGACAUGGCUAUUCAGUGCAUCCGCAUAGCUUCUCUUCCCAGAUACACAGGCUGACCUACCACACAAAGGUACAUCAGCCCAGUAGGAGUGUGCAAACACAUUCAAAUCUGAACCAGUUCAAUAUUGAACCGGUUCAGUUCGAAGGUUCGGAGUCGAGCCGAACCACCUCUGGCUUGACCGCGGACCAAACACACACACACAC
Molecule: long non-coding RNA, 2553 nt
Organism: Hemicordylus capensis (graceful crag lizard)
Lineage: Eukaryota; Metazoa; Chordata; Lepidosauria; Squamata; Cordylidae
Exons: 4
Source: RefSeq, a predicted model, not a curated record